UAAAAGUUCUUCUAUAAUUAUUAUUGUUAUUUUUUUAAAACUUAGCUAUAAAUGUGAAUUAACUAGAAUUCGAACUUGGGUCUCGAGUACCAACCACCAAGCCCUUUGCCACUUGCUCCAGGGACGGUUGGUAGUUCACUGUAGAAAUUUCUAUAAUUACGGCUUACGAAAUUCUUAUGAACUGUGUUAGUCUAGCUCACUGUAGAAAUUUGACAAUAGUGAUUUCUCAUAAUAAUAAAUUUUAUCCGUGAGACGAUUUAUCUUAUUCCAAAAAUCCUUUAUGUUAUAUUGCUAUGGACAUUUUAUCAUACGAUUUAUCUAUCAAUUAUUAUAGCGUCUCAAACUGGGCUAAAAAAGAGAGUAAAAGAGAAAGAUAUUGAUGCAUCCAAACAGUCUUCUUAAGUUUUAAGUGGAUGCUUUUCGAGGACAACAAUUAGCUCGAGUUAAUUAACCCAAGUGAUUCGAGAACACUAGACAAGAAUAGUGUAUAAUAACCAGUGCAUUAAUUGGUCUGUUUGGAUGUUCAAAUAAGUUAUCCGACAGUAGUCGUAUGUGCGGUGUAGAGAUAUUCAUCUAUUAUUAUACUUA
Molecule: long non-coding RNA, 588 nt
Filed under: Ananas comosus (pineapple)
Lineage: Eukaryota; Viridiplantae; Streptophyta; Magnoliopsida; Poales; Bromeliaceae
Description: long non-coding RNA (ACOM_LNC006351)
Source: RNAcentral